Molecule: long non-coding RNA, 481 nt
Organism: Otolemur garnettii (small-eared galago)
Lineage: Eukaryota; Metazoa; Chordata; Mammalia; Primates; Galagidae
Exons: 3
Source: RefSeq, a predicted model, not a curated record
UUGUGAUCACCCACUGCAGUUCUCCAGGAGCUGUCUCUCUCCCACAGGCUAAAGAGGUCUGGGGAUUCUGCUCUUUGCUGAAUGUGAAUUUGGGAACCAGGAAAAUGACCAAAAGAGAAAUCGAGGACCCACUGGGUUCCCUACAAGAUCUAGGACAUCCAGCUUCUCCUAUCCUCAAACAUAAGAACCCCAGGAUCUUGGGUAUUCAGGCUCUGGGCCUUACACCAGUGCUUCCAGGUUCUUGGUUUUUGGCCUUGGACUGAAAGCCACAUCAUCCAGGGCUUCUUACCCUCCCUGCUCACAGGUGAUUCUCACAAUAAAUCCCUUCUCAACUCUCUCUCUCUGUGUAUCCUAUAGGUUCUGUUUCACUAGAGAACUCUGACUAAUACAACUGGCACAGAGUAGAAUCUCAUCUACUAUUUGAUUUCUGAAUGACUGAGAAGUUUGAGUAUCAUCCCAGCAUUUACACAGCCUGGGGCUG